Molecule: non-coding RNA, 2327 nt
Organism: Zootermopsis nevadensis
Lineage: Eukaryota; Metazoa; Arthropoda; Insecta; Blattodea; Termopsidae
Source: RefSeq, a predicted model, not a curated record
CAGCCGAAGCCUUUGUAUAUGUUGAGAUAGUCUGUUUCUGUUAUGUUAACUUAGGUUAGGUCAAGUCAGGGACAAGGCGGAUAUAAUAUCUACAAAUUCACGUUGCAAAUAAUUCUGGUACUUUUUCCAAACUUGUUUGCUUGUGAAGACAACGAUGACAAUAAAUGAUCAUCACAUAGGCCUGUUAGCUCUUCGUGUCCUGGCAGCUCAGUAUGAAAAUUUACCUGAUCCUGGCUAGACGUCCGGUGUUCUAAUUCCGUUACGGAAUUGAUUUCUCACUGUGCCGUCACGUUCAGAUCGGCUCUGAGGCCCACCUAGCCUCUUAUAAAGAGUACUGGUGACGCUGUAACAAGCGGUAAAACUGCAUAAAGUUCAGAGAUCAAAAUGCGUGGCGAUUUACUUCUAUGUCAUGAUAUGGUCCUUAAAUCCAGGACGCAACUUAUUUCUUCUUCAUAUUAGCUCUGAGUGUGUUUCGAGCGCCGUCCGAGAUUGGUUUACCUGACUGCGUUCUCUCGUGAAUAGAUUAGGACAUCCUCAUCUGCGCGCCGUGGUUCUAAUAAAGCGUAAAGGACGCUGAACAGGUCCACCAACAUACAACACCUUACUGAAUGCCCUACGAUCCUACUCAUGGUUAAGUGUAUAAAUGUUACUAACCAUCUCACUCUACGGCUCGACGUUUUCCUUCCUGCCUCAUGAUGUAGCGCUGCGCUGAAUUUCAUUACCGUAAUUUAGAGGGAUACUAUACUCGUAUAUAGACUUCUCACCUCAUAUUUUACAUUUGUUAUUUUACCACAACUCCGAGAAAGUCGAUGCCACUCGGUUCACCUUCCGUCUCCUAACUAAAUAUGUCAAAUCAAAACAUACAAGUACAGUCCAUCCUCAUAACAUUAGGGUUGUCGAAGAAAUGCAUAUGGGCAGUAGAGACAUGUAGCACAGAAGAACGAAACGAAAAAUGAUACAAAGUGUCUGUCGGAAAACCUGAAGGAAAGCGAUUAUUUUGGAAACCUAAUAAUAGAUGGAAUAUACUAAAAUGAACUGGAUCUUACAGAUAUAUGAGGUUGUUAACUGAAUUCGAUUGUUUUAUUAUAGACUGAAGUGACGAGUUCUUGUGAACAUGGUAAUAAACCUUUUGUUUCGUAAAAGGAGUGACUUUCUUGACUAGAUGAGCGACCAUCCGUUUCACAGAAACGUCUCUUCUAAUCGCUAGUCACUCCGUCAGGUUGGUACUGUGACUCAGGCAGAAACGAAAGGAAUUCUUAAUAUGUUUACACUGGGUUCACUAUCUGUUACUGUGCACGCAACGUAGGGCCAGUAUUAGUUACACAAGAUAAGUUGAAAUGACGGACAGACGGAAGAAAAGUGACAGUGAUUCGUGUUCAUGUAUCAGAUGUGGAGCCAAGUUAAGUUAUACGCAUUACAACUCCAUGCUACUUUGCAUGCCACAUGCUUAUUUACUGCAGUGAAAUUCGAUUUGUUACCGCAACAACCAUCUGACUGUUUUGCCCUUUAACUUGCAUUACAUUUUUAUUACACUGGCUGUAUUCCAUUACAAAGGACUUCUGUCAACAGAACUAUAACAACCCGAUGUCUGAAGGGAACUCUAUAUGCCGGAAUAUCAGCGCCACAGUUCUACUCCCCACAUGUGAAGGCUCAGAAGUUCAGUCUGUUAAAUUUCAGCAGUACAACGUCUCUUAGUAUACCGUAACAUAUCUGUUCUAUUCUUCUGGCAGACCUCUGAUUAUCUGUGUGAUAUGAGCUACCAUCGAAGAAAAUUAAAUCGGGGCCAAUAAUUAACUAAAGAUUUCUAUGUGAGAUGUGAAUUUCUAGUGACAGCGAGGAUGAAUAUAUCUGUCUUCUGCGAUGUUGCGCCAUGUGGUCUGGUAAAUGUUUACCGACGUUUCACAGGUACUUGCUGCUUCCAUCAUCAGGGUGAUGAUUGCCCUGCCAGACUUCACGGCGCAAGGUCCCAGAAGACUAAUCUUUUAAACACUCUUUACUUCAGAUAGAAUCAAGAACUGCUUCGAAUUAGUUUCUCAUCUUGAAACGUCCUUGAUACAGAAACACAUGACGAGUCUUUUAUACAUGUCAUGCAUAUAUCAUAAACUGCCAACAAUUUGAGUGCACAGAGAUGUGAAAAAAUCAGACGUUUCAAGCGUAGUUACAGAAAAUACGGUGAAAACAAUGAUUUAGCUAAUGCAAAAUAUCAGACAUUUCAUUUUCAAACCUAUCCAACUUUUGUUAAAGAUAAAUGUACCUAUGCCUGGCGCAGUGACUACAGGCUUAAGGCGCGUACGGUAUUUUAGACAGAUGAACAAUGUGAUCGAGAG